GACGAACGCUGGCGGCGUGCUUAACACAUGCAAGUCGAACGAAGUGGCGAACGGGUGAGUAAUAAGUGAGUAACCUGCCCUCCUUUUUGGGAUAAGCCUUGGAAACGGGGUCUAAUACCGGAUAAAGGGGUCUGGGCUCGCGGCCUAUCAGUUUGUUGGUGGGGUGAUGGCCUACCAAUGCGGUGACGGGUAGCCGGCCUGAGCGGGUGAACGGCGACAUUGGUACUGAGAUGCGGCCCAGGGUGCUACGGGAGGGGGUAUUGGGGGAUAUUGACGAAAGGGUGAACGAGUGAUGCCGCGACGCCGCGUGGGGGUUUAAGGCUUUCGGGUUGUAAACCUCUUUCGCUAUCGAACGGGUAGGUGGAGAAGAAGCGCCGGCUAACUACGUGCCAGCAGCCGCGGUAAUUC
Molecule: ribosomal RNA, 408 nt
Filed under: uncultured bacterium
Lineage: Bacteria
Description: partial 16S ribosomal RNA
Rfam family: Bacterial small subunit ribosomal RNA
Source: RNAcentral